CAGCCGCCGCGGUAAUACGAAGGGGGCUAGCGUUGUUCGGAUUAACUGGGCGUAAAGGGCGCGUAGGCGGGUUUUUAAGUCAGGGGUGAAAUCCCAAGGCUCAACCUUGGAACUGCCUUUGAUACUGGAAGUCUUGAGUCCGGGAGAGGUGAGUGGAACUGCGAGUGUAGAGGUGAAAUUCGUAGAUAUUCGCAAGAACACCAGUGGCGAAGGCGGCUCACUGGCCCGGUACUGACGCUGAGGCGCGAAAGCGUGGGGAGCAAACAGGAUUAGAUACCCCUGUAGUCCCUGUCUCUUAUAC
Molecule: ribosomal RNA, 301 nt
Filed under: uncultured bacterium
Lineage: Bacteria
Description: partial 16S ribosomal RNA
Rfam family: Bacterial small subunit ribosomal RNA
Source: RNAcentral